GCCUUCGUGGUGUAGUGGUCAGCACGCUCGACGCGUAUUCGAGAGGUCCGUGGUUCGAUUCCCGGCGAGGGCA
Stegodyphus mimosarum is the source of this 73-nucleotide non-coding RNA. The record is from Rfam. NCBI's taxonomy places the organism in Eukaryota, Metazoa, Arthropoda, Arachnida, Araneae, Eresidae.